GAAGGGAAAUAUUCAGCGGGUCAAGGAUAAAUUCAAGGUGGUUUGAAGAGGAGAGGACGUGUGGGAGGAGAAAGCAGGAGUUUUAGAGAAAGGUUCAAAACACCUCUUGGUGGAGAUUCAACGGUUUUCGAAGGAGAUCUCCUCUCCAUUGGGCACAAAACACACAGCUGCAUCCAUUAGGAAGGGGGGACAUCUUUCCUCCAAAGCAUUCGGCACGUGCCUUUGAGGAAUUCUCCAUAGGUAGUUGCAUCUCGGGGAGGAAGGGCCACACACACCACGCUCCGAAGACACCACAAUUCACAUAGUCCACCUUUGAAGGGGCACGCACAUAGUGGGCGCAUGCCUUGAGGACAAAAGCCGCAUGAUUUGGCAAAGGAAUAGCCGUCUAGUCUGCUUCGAAAUGCUGCCACUUUGAGGAUCCACCACGCACAGCCUACAGAGCACAUAGCACGCAUAUAGGGAGAAAGAUCCAAGCCGCCAUUCAUGCUAUAGGGCACGCCCCAUGGGACUCUCCUUGAAGCGGCACCAUUUUAUAAGGCAAUCUUCAACACGCACCGAGCCCAACCACAAGAGGACGAUCAGAAUUUUAUCAAAGAGAGGAUGAUCAGUUUUUUCAAAGAGAGGACGAUCAGAAUUUUUUUAGAGUGGACAAAGAUAAGAAUUUUUUGAGAGGAGGACAAUUACAAUUUUUUAGAGUGGAAGACGAUCAGAAUUUUUCAGAGGGAUCAUAAUCAGAAUUUUUCUGGAGUGGACGCACUACCAGAAUUGGAGGAACCAACACACCAUCGACAACCUCUCUCCAUCUUCACGCACAAUCAUUAUUAAUUAAGUUUCUGCAGCAACGGACAACACAAUUGCCAAUUCUUUAAGGUAUGAGAUUGUUUUUU
This 887-nucleotide long non-coding RNA is filed under the name Vitis vinifera (wine grape). RNAcentral's name for it is "long non-coding RNA (VVIN_LNC005065)". The record is from RNAcentral. Lineage: Eukaryota; Viridiplantae; Streptophyta; Magnoliopsida; Vitales; Vitaceae.